UCCCUAUGGGGUGCAGCAGGCGAGAAAACUUUGCAAUGUGCGAAAGCACGACAAGGUUAAUCCGAGUGAUUUCUGCUAAAGAAAUCUUUUGCAAGUCGUAAAAUCACUAGUGAAUAAGGGGUGGGCAAGUUCUGGUGUCAGCCGCCGCGGUAAAACCAGCACCUCAAGUGGUCAGGAUGAUUAUUGGGCCUAAAGCAUCCGUAGCCGGCUUUGUUAGUUUUCGGUUAAAUCUAUGCGCUCAACGCAUAGGCCGCCGAAAAUACUGCAGAGCUAGGGAGUGGAAGAGGUAGACGGUACUCGGUAGGAAGGGGUAAAAUCCUUUGAUCUAUUGAUGACCACCUGUGGCGAAGGCGGUCUACCAGAACACGUUCGACGGUGAGGGAUGAAAGCUGGGGGAGCAAACCGGAUUAGAUACCCGGGUAGUCCCAGCUGUAAACGAUGCAGACUCGAUGAUGCAUUGGCAUAUAGCUAGUGCAGUAUCGCAGGGAAGCCGUUAAGUCUGCCGCCUGGGAAGUACGUACGCAAGUAUGAAACUUAAAGGAAUUGGCGGGGGAGCACCACAAGGGGUGAAGCCUGCGGUUCAAUUGGAGUCAACGCCAGAAAUCUUACCCGGAGAGACAGCAGAAUGAAGGUCAGCUGAAGACCUUACCAGACGCGCUGAGAAGAAGUGCAUGGGCAAA
Molecule: ribosomal RNA, 680 nt
Filed under: uncultured marine group I thaumarchaeote
Lineage: Archaea; Thermoproteati; Nitrososphaerota
Description: bacterial SSU rRNA
Rfam family: Archaeal small subunit ribosomal RNA
Source: RNAcentral